Molecule: ribosomal RNA, 1043 nt
Filed under: Daldinia eschscholtzii
Lineage: Eukaryota; Fungi; Ascomycota; Sordariomycetes; Xylariales; Hypoxylaceae
Description: partial large subunit ribosomal RNA
Rfam family: Eukaryotic large subunit ribosomal RNA
Source: RNAcentral
GGUCCGAGUUGUAAUUUGUAGAGGAUGCUUUUGGUGAGGUGCCUUCCGAGUUCCCUGGAACGGGACGCCGGAGAGGGUGAGAGCCCCGUACGGUUGGACGCCAAACCUCUGUAUAGCUCCUUCGACGAGUCGAGUAGUUUGGGAAUGCUGCUCUAAAUGGGAGGUAAAUUUCUUCUAAAGCUAAAUACCGGCCAGAGACCGAUAGCGCACAAGUAGAGUGAUCGAAAGAUGAAAAGCACUUUGAAAAGAGGGUUAAAUAGCACGUGAAAUUGUUGAAAGGGAAGCGUUUGCGACCAGACUUUUUCCAGGCGGAUCAUCCGGCGUUCUCGCCGGUGCACUCCGCCUGGUUGAGGCCAGCAUCGGUUUCCUUAGGGGGAUAAAGGCCUGGGGAACGUAGCUCCUUCGGGAGUGUUAUAGCCCCUGGCGUAAUACCCCUCGGGGGACCGAGGAACGCGCUCUGCAAGGAUGCUGGCGUAAUGGUCGUCAACGACCCGUCUUGAAACACGGACCAAGGAGUCGAACAUUUGUGCGAGUGUUUGGGUGUCAAACCCUCACGCGUAAUGAAAGUGAACGGAGGUGAGAGCCCUUACGGGUGCAUCAUCGACCGAUCCUGAUGUCUUCGGAUGGAUUUGAGUAAGAGCAUAACUGUUCGGACCCGAAAGAUGGUGAACUAUGCGUGGAUAGGGUGAAGCCAGAGGAAACUCUGGUGGAGGCUCGCAGCGGUUCUGACGUGCAAAUCGAUCGUCAAAUCUGCGCAUGGGGGCGAAAGACUUAUCGAACCAUCUAGUAGCUGGUUACCGCCGAAGUUUCCCUCAGGAUAGCAGUGUUGUCUUCAGUUUUAUGAGGUAAAGCGAAUGAUUAGGGACUCGGGGGCGCUAUAUUGCCUUCAUCCAUUCUCAAACUUUAAAUAUGUAAGAAGCCCUUGUUACUUAGUUGAACGUGGGCAUUCGAAUGUACCAACACUAGUGGGCCAUUUUUGGUAAGCAGAACUGGCGAUGCGGGAUGAACCGAACGCGGGGUUAAGGUGCCAGAGUGGACGCUCA